Molecule: ribosomal RNA, 253 nt
Filed under: uncultured bacterium
Lineage: Bacteria
Description: partial 16S ribosomal RNA
Rfam family: Bacterial small subunit ribosomal RNA
Source: RNAcentral
UACAGAGACUGCAAGCGUUAUUCGGAUUCACUGGGCGUAAAGGGUGCGCAGGCGGCCGUGUGUGUGAGGCGUGAAAACCUGGAGCUUAACUCCAGAAUUGCACCUCAAACUACAUGGCUAGAGCAUUGGAGAGGGUAGCAGAAUUCAUGGUGUAGCAGUGAAAUGCGUAGAUAUCAUGAGGAAUACCAGAGGCGAAGGCGGCUACCUGGACAAUUGCUGACGCUCAGGCACGAAAGCGUGGGGAGCAAAAGGG